This 431-nucleotide ribosomal RNA is filed under the name Enterococcus faecium. RNAcentral describes it as "bacterial SSU rRNA". It matches the Rfam family "Bacterial small subunit ribosomal RNA", at positions 1110 to 1533 of the family's 1533-position model. The record is from RNAcentral. Lineage: Bacteria; Bacillati; Bacillota; Bacilli; Lactobacillales; Enterococcaceae.
GUUAGUUGCCAUCAUUCAGUUGGGCACUCUAGCAAGACUGCCGGUGACAAACCGGAGGAAGGUGGGGAUGACGUCAAAUCAUCAUGCCCCUUAUGACCUGGGCUACACACGUGCUACAAUGGGAAGUACAACGAGUUGCGAAGUCGCGAGGCUAAGCUAAUCUCUUAAAGCUUCUCUCAGUUCGGAUUGCAGGCUGCAACUCGCCUGCAUGAAGCCGGAAUCGCUAGUAAUCGCGGAUCAGCACGCCGCGGUGAAUACGUUCCCGGGCCUUGUACACACCGCCCGUCACACCACGAGAGUUUGUAACACCCGAAGUCGGUGAGGUAACCUUUUUGGAGCCAGCCGCCUAAGGUGGGAUAGAUGAUUGGGGUGAAGUCGUAACAAGGUAGCCGUAUCGGAAGGUGCGGCUGGAUCACCUCCUUUCUAAGGAA